AUUGAACGCUGGCGGCAGGCCUAACACAUGCAAGUCGAACGGUAACAGGGAUCAGCUUGCUGAUUCGCUGACGAGUGGCGGACGGGUGAGUAAUGUCUGGGAAACUGCCUGAUGGAGGGGGAUAACUACUGGAAACGGUAGCUAAUACCGCAUAACGUCGCAAGACCAAAGAGGGGGACCUUCGGGCCUCUUGCCAUCGGAUGUGCCCAGAUGGGAUUAGCUAGUAGGUGGGGUAACGGCUCACCUAGGCGACGAUCCCUAGCUGGUCUGAGAGGAUGACCAGCCACACUGGAACUGAGACACGGUCCAGACUCCUACGGGAGGCAGCAGUGGGGAAUAUUGCACAAUGGGCGCAAGCCUGAUGCAGCCAUGCCGCGUAUGAAGAAGGCCUUCGGGUUGUAAAGUACUUUCAGCGGGGAGGAAGGGAGUAAAGUUAAUACCUUUGCUCAUUGACGUUACCCGCAGAAGAAGCACCGGCUAACUCCGUG
Molecule: ribosomal RNA, 488 nt
Filed under: uncultured bacterium
Lineage: Bacteria
Description: partial 16S ribosomal RNA
Rfam family: Bacterial small subunit ribosomal RNA
Source: RNAcentral